Molecule: ribosomal RNA, 460 nt
Filed under: Paenibacillus sp.
Lineage: Bacteria; Bacillati; Bacillota; Bacilli; Caryophanales; Paenibacillaceae
Description: bacterial SSU rRNA
Rfam family: Bacterial small subunit ribosomal RNA
Source: RNAcentral
GGCUCAGGACGAACGCUGGCGGCGUGCCUAAUACAUGCAAGUCGAGCGGGGUUAUGUAGAAGCUUGCUUCUACAUAACCUAGCGGCGGACGGGUGAGUAACACGUAGGCAACCUGCCCACAAGACAGGGAUAACUACCGGAAACGGUAGCUAAUACCCGAUACAUCCUUUUCCUGCAUGGGAGAAGGAGGAAAGACGGAGCAAUCUGUCACUUGUGGAUGGGCCUGCGGCGCAUUAGCUAGUUGGUGGGGUAAAGGCCUACCAAGGCGACGAUGCGUAGCCGACCUGAGAGGGUGAUCGGCCACACUGGGACUGAGACACGGCCCAGACUCCUACGGGAGGCAGCAGUAGGGAAUCUUCCGCAAUGGGCGAAAGCCUGACGGAGCAACGCCGCGUGAGUGAUGAAGGUUUUCGGAUCGUAAAGCUCUGUUGCCAGGGAAGAACGUCUUGUAGAGUAACUG